AAAUUGAAGAGUUUGAUCAUGGCUCAGAUUGAACGCUGGCGGCAGGCCUAACACAUGCAAGUCGAACGGUAACAGGAAGCAGCUUGCUGCUUUGCUGACGAGUGGCGGACGGGUGAGUAAUGUCUGGGAAACUGCCUGAUGGAGGGGGAUAACUACUGGAAACGGUGGCUAAUACCGCAUAACGUCGCAAGACCAAAGAGGGGGACCUUCGGGCCUCUUGCCAUCAGAUGUGCCCAGAUGGGAUUAGCUUGUUGGUGAGGUAACGGCUCACCAAGGCGACGAUCCCUAGCUGGUCUGAGAGGAUGACCAGCCACACUGGAACUGAGACACGGUCCAGACUCCUACGGGAGGCAGCAGUGGGGAAUAUUGCACAAUGGGCGCAAGCCUGAUGCAGCCAUGCCGCGUGUAUGAAGAAGGCCUUCGGGUUGUAAAGUACUUUCAGCGGGGAGGAAGGUGUUGUGGUUAAUAACCGCAGCAAUUGACGUUACCCGCAGAAGAAGCACCGGCUAACUCCGUGCCAGCAGCCGCGGUAAUACGGAGGGUGCAAGCGUUAAUCGGAAUUACUGGGCGUAAAGCGCACGCAGGCGGUCUGUCAAGUCGGAUGUGAAAUCCCCGGGCUCAACCUGGGAACUGCAUUCGAAACUGGCAGGCUUGAGUCUUGUAGAGGGGGGUAGAAUUCCAGGUGUAGCGGUGAAAUGCGUAGAGAUCUGGAGGAAUACCGGUGGCGAAGGCGGCCCCCUGGACAAAGACUGACGCUCAGGUGCGAAAGCGUGGGGAGCAAACAGGAUUAGAUACCCUGGUAGUCCACGCCGUAAACGAUGUCUACUUGGAGGUUGUGCCCUUGAGGCGUGGCUUCCGGAGCUAACGCGUUAAGUAGACCGCCUGGGGAGUACGGCCGCAAGGUUAAAACUCAAAUGAAUUGACGGGGGCCCGCACAAGCGGUGGAGCAUGUGGUUUAAUUCGAUGCAACGCGAAGAACCUUACCUGGUCUUGACAUCCACAGAACUUUCCAGAGAUGGAUUGGUGCCUUCGGGAACUGUGAGACAGGUGCUGCAUGGCUGUCGUCAGCUCGUGUUGUGAAAUGUUGGGUUAAGUCCCGCAACGAGCGCAACCCUUAUCCUUUGUUGCCAGCGGUCCGGCCGGGAACUCAAAGGAGACUGCCAGUGAUAAACUGGAGGAAGGUGGGGAUGACGUCAAGUCAUCAUGGCCCUUACGACCAGGGCUACACACGUGCUACAAUGGCGCAUACAAAGAGAAGCGACCUCGCGAGAGCAAGCGGACCUCAUAAAGUGCGUCGUAGUCCGGAUUGGAGUCUGCAACUCGACUCCAUGAAGUCGGAAUCGCUAGUAAUCGUGGAUCAGAAUGCCACGGUGAAUACGUUCCCGGGCCUUGUACACACCGCCCGUCACACCAUGGGAGUGGGUUGCAAAAGAAGUAGGUAGCUUAACCUUCGGGAGGGCGCUUACCACUUUGUGAUUCAUGACUGGGGUGAAGUCGUAACAAGGUAACCGUAGGGGAACCUGCGGUUGGAUCACCUCCUUACCUU
Molecule: ribosomal RNA, 1546 nt
Filed under: Salmonella enterica subsp. enterica serovar Paratyphi C
Lineage: Bacteria; Pseudomonadati; Pseudomonadota; Gammaproteobacteria; Enterobacterales; Enterobacteriaceae
Also listed under: 1 other name
Description: bacterial SSU rRNA
Rfam family: Bacterial small subunit ribosomal RNA
Source: RNAcentral